Molecule: ribosomal RNA, 468 nt
Filed under: uncultured bacterium
Lineage: Bacteria
Description: partial 16S ribosomal RNA
Rfam family: Bacterial small subunit ribosomal RNA
Source: RNAcentral
GACGAACGCUGGCGGCGUGCUUAACACAUGCAAGUCGAACGGAUAGGGCCUGCUUGCGUGUGGUGCCAGAGUCGCGAACGGGUGAGUAACCUGUGAGUCACCUUCCCUGGACGUUGGGAUAACUUGAGACAACUGCUACUAAUACCUGCUACGUGCUCCUGCUGCUUGGUGGGGUUUGGACAGCUUCGGCGGUUGGGGAUGGACUCCCGGCUUAUCAGCUUGUGGGUGGGGUAGUGGCUAACCCAGGCUUUGACGGGUAGUCGGCCUGAGAGGUUAGACAGCCACAAUGGGACUGAGGGACGGACCAGACUCCAACAGGAGACAGCGGUCGAGAGUAUUACACAAUGGGCGGAAGCCUGAUGAAGAGAUGCCGCGUGUGGGAAGACCGCCAUGGGGUUGGGAACCGCAGUAACCUAGGACGUAGCUUGAUUGACGGUAAUAAGAGAAGAAGCACCGGCUAACUACGUG